This 71-nucleotide transfer RNA is filed under the name Klebsiella pneumoniae. RNAcentral describes it as "tRNA-Ile". It matches the Rfam family "tRNA". Rfam says of the family: Transfer RNA (tRNA) molecules are approximately 80 nucleotides in length. Their secondary structure includes four short double-helical elements and three loops (D, anti-codon, and T loops). The record is from RNAcentral. Lineage: Bacteria; Pseudomonadati; Pseudomonadota; Gammaproteobacteria; Enterobacterales; Enterobacteriaceae. RNAcentral also lists the same sequence under 11 other names.
GGCUUGUAGCUCAGGUGGUUAGAGCGCACCCCUGAUAAGGGUGAGGUCGGUGGUUCAAGUCCACUCAGGCC